RNAcentral lists this ribosomal RNA (538 nucleotides) under Darevskia parvula. RNAcentral describes it as "partial 16S ribosomal RNA". It matches the Rfam family "Bacterial large subunit ribosomal RNA", at positions 1807 to 2598 of the family's 2925-position model. The record is from RNAcentral. Lineage: Eukaryota; Metazoa; Chordata; Lepidosauria; Squamata; Lacertidae.
UCAAAAACAUAGCCUUUAGCCCCACAAGUAUUAAAGGUCCCGCCUGCCCAGUGACUCUUUAAACGGCCGCGGUAUCCUAACCGUGCAAAGGUAGCAUAAUCACUUGUCCCUUAAAUAGGGACUGGAAUGAACGGCUAAAUGAGGAUUAAACUGUCUCUUGCGAGCCGGUCAAUGAAUUUGAUUUUCCAGUUCAAAAGCUGGAAUAAACACAUAAGACGAGAAGACCCUGUGGAGCUUCAAAACCUAGUUCACCAAAUAAUGCUUCCUUCGGUUUUUAGUUGGGGCGACUUCGGAGCACAAAAAAACCUCCAAAACAUGUAAACCCACUAUAUUAAGAUCAACAAACCACAAAACCACAAGAUCCAGCAACAGCCCUUAAUGUUGUCUGACCAAUGAACCAAGUUACCCCAGGGAUAACAGCGCCAUCCCCUUCUAGAGUCCCUAUCGACAAGGGGGUUUACGACCUCGAUGUUGGAUCAGGACACCCCAAUGGUGCAGCCGCCACUAAAGGUUCGUUUGUUCAACGAUUAAAGUCCUA